RNAcentral lists this ribosomal RNA (467 nucleotides) under uncultured bacterium. RNAcentral describes it as "bacterial SSU rRNA". It matches the Rfam family "Bacterial small subunit ribosomal RNA", at positions 560 to 1029 of the family's 1533-position model. The record is from RNAcentral.
GUAAAGGGUAUGUAGGUUGUUAAUUAAGUUUAUUGUUAAAAUUCAAUGAGCUUAACUCUUGCAAAGCAAUUUAAUACUGAUUAACUUUGAGUAUGUAAGAGGAUAGUGGGAUUCUUAGUGGAAAGGUAAAAUUUUAUGAUAUUAAGAAGACGAACCAGCGAAGGCGACUAUCCAUUACAUUACUGACACUGAAAUACAAAAGUAUAGGGAGUAAAAGAGGAUUAGAUACCCUCGUAAUCUAUACCGUGACCUAUGAGUAUUGAAAUUGGGAUAUUAAUUCUAUUUUCCAGCUAACGCGUAAAUACUCCGCCUGGGGACUAAGGUCGCAAGAUUAAAACUCAAAGAAAUUGACGAGAUUUGACCAAAGUAGUGGAGCAUGUGGUUUAAUCCCGAUAGUCCGCGUAAAAAUCUUACCAAUUCUAGUUAUAUGUUUUAAUAUAUAAAUAUAUUAAAUUAAAUUUAAAUAA